This 433-nucleotide ribosomal RNA is filed under the name uncultured bacterium. RNAcentral's name for it is "partial 16S ribosomal RNA". It matches the Rfam family "Bacterial small subunit ribosomal RNA", at positions 29 to 507 of the family's 1533-position model. The record is from RNAcentral.
AACGAACGCUGGCGGCAUGCCUAACACAUGCAAGUCGAACGAGACCUUCGGGUCUAGUGGCGCACGGGUGCGUAACGCGUGGGAACCUGCCCUUAGGUUCGGAAUAACUCCCCGAAAGGGGUGCUAAUACCGGAUAAUGUCUUCGGACCAAAGAUUUAUCGCCUUUGGAUGGGCCCGCGUUGGAUUAGCUAGUUGGUAGGGUAAAAGCCUACCAAGGCGACGAUCCAUAGCUGGUCUGAGAGGAUGAUCAGCCACACUGGGACUGAGACACGGCCCAGACUCCUACGCGAGGCAGCAGUGGGGAAUAUUGGACAAUGGGCGAAAGCCUGAUCCAGCAAGGCCGCGUGAGUGAUGAAGGCCUUAGGGUUGUAAAGCUCUUUUACCCGGGAUGAUAAUGACAGUACCGGGAGAAUAAGCCCCGGCUAACUCCGUG